GUUUGAUUAUGGCUCAGAUUGAACGCUGGCGGCGUGCUUAACACAUGCAAGUCGCGCGUGAAAGGACUUCGGUCCGAGUAAGCGGCGGCACGGGUGAGUAACGGCGUGGAUGAUCUACCCAUGAGUUAGGAAGUAACGGCUGGAAACGGUCGCUAAUACCAAAUACGCUCCGAUUUCAACUUCGGGGGAAAGGUGGCCUCUGCUUGCAAGCUACUGCUCAUGGAUGAGUCCGCGUCCCAUUAGCGUAGUUGGUGGGGUAACGGCCCACCAAGGCGACGAUGGGUAGCCGGUCUGAGAGGAUGACCGGCCACACUGGGACUGGAACACGGCCCAGACUCCUACGGGAGGCAGCAGUGGGGAAUAUUGCGCAACGGGCGAAAGCCUGACGCAGCGACGCCGCGUGAGGGAAUGAAGGUCCUCGGAUCGUAAACCUCUGUCAGGAGGGAAGAACCGCCACGGUGCUAAUCAGCCGUGGUCUGACGGUACCUCCAAAGGAAGCACCGGCUAACUCCGUGCCAGCCGCCGC
This 526-nucleotide ribosomal RNA is filed under the name uncultured bacterium. RNAcentral describes it as "bacterial SSU rRNA". It matches the Rfam family "Bacterial small subunit ribosomal RNA", at positions 11 to 518 of the family's 1533-position model. The record is from RNAcentral.